GUAAAAAUUAAUUAAUCAAUGUUUCAGUUGAUUACUAAAUUUACAGUUGAUAGAAAUAAUAAUAUCAUCAAUAUAUCAAUGUUGUAAUAACAUACAUGAAUUAAUGUAAUAUAAUAAAAUGGAAAGUAAUAAAAAAUUAUCAAACCAUUCAGGACGAUACAUUUGGAAUGUAGACAGUCCAAAAAAUGCAGCAGUACACUUUGGAAAUUUUCAUCAACACCAGGAUGAUCCGGGAAACAUCAAAUCGUCGUUGACAUCAACGAAUAAAUUGCAAUUUACUACAUCCGUUGUACCAAGGUCUAAAUUUACCAGACACAUGAUUCAUUAGAGAAAUUAAAUGGAAGUAUUUACUAUACAAGUCAACUAUUAAGUUUUCUUGAUGAAGUUGUUGAACCUCCAGAAUUUUCCAUAGAUUUACCUUCUACUGAUGAUCGUGUACUGGAAGAUGAUCUAAAAGCAUCAUAUCCUCUUUGGUACAAAAAUCCUGAGAAGAUGUAGAAGAUGUACAUGUGUAUGACUGUCUUUACGUUCCUGAACAGUCACCCAAGUAUCUUAUUUAGUAGUGUUUUCCCCAGAGGAUCUUCCCUCUGGAAAUGUCUACAAUAUUAUUCAUGAUGCUAUCUUCUGAAUUAUUAUUCAUGAAAGUGUCAACAUUUUUGUUUUUCACAUCUGAAGGUAUCUUGUCAGUGUCAAAGAAAAUGCACUUAAGGGUAAAUUGAUUACUGGUCAGGAUGAAGAAUUAAUUUUUCAUUCAAAUUCAGAAAAAUGACUGAUGAUACUGCAAGUGAAAUUAAAAAUUCUGAAACUCUUGAAAGAUCAGAAAAAAUCUCUAGUGGAGAUGAAAGCCUAACAGAAACUGCACAAUCAUCAAACGAAGACCAGUACAUUCUUAAUAGGUUUUAUGAGUAUUCUCAGGGCUUGUUCAAGGAUGUGCUCAGUGUGAAACAGAAUUAAAUUAAUAAAUAAUUUAAACUCACAAAUUAUGACA
RNAcentral lists this unclassified non-coding RNA (988 nucleotides) under Chelonus insularis. Its description in RNAcentral is "uncharacterized LOC118065819, transcript variant X1". The record is from RNAcentral. Lineage: Eukaryota; Metazoa; Arthropoda; Insecta; Hymenoptera; Braconidae.